RNAcentral lists this transfer RNA (73 nucleotides) under Pseudomonadota bacterium. RNAcentral describes it as "tRNA-Thr". It matches the Rfam family "tRNA". Rfam says of the family: Transfer RNA (tRNA) molecules are approximately 80 nucleotides in length. Their secondary structure includes four short double-helical elements and three loops (D, anti-codon, and T loops). RNAcentral also lists the same sequence under 5 other names. The record is from RNAcentral. Lineage: Bacteria; Pseudomonadati; Pseudomonadota.
GCCACCGUAGCUCAAUUGGCAGAGCAGCGGUUUUGUAAACCGCAGGUUGCGGGUUCGAGUCCCGCCGGUGGCU